UUUUUUUUUUUUUUUUUUUUAUACACGAUUACAAAAUGUACGCAUCCAGCAAAUUGUUCUAAAUGGUCUUAUAAAGUAUAAAACCUGUUUUCUUUUUUCCCUUUUUUUUAAGUUUAAAAACCCAACAAAUGUAAGAAUUCAAGCAAUGACGUGGCAAUGCUCCAUUGGUCAACGUUACAAAGUACCACGUAGCUCAGACCGACAUUCGAUUGAAAGGAAGAAAAAUAGAGAAAAAAAGGGAAAAAAAAGUCGUAAAAAUAAAAAGCAGAAAUCGAAUAGUUAUAAUAAUAAAAAACCCAAAGAGGAAGAAGAGUUGAGAGAAAGAGAGAGAGAGCUGGCUCCCAUGGCUGACGAAGAGCAGCAUCAGCAGCAGCAACAGCUUCACUCUUCCCCUUCUUCUUCCUCUUCUGCUGCCGAAGAAACUCUCAACAAGCAAACCCAGGUAGAGAAUGUUCCCUUCUUUUAAAAAAAAAUUGAAGAAAUCGCAAUGGAAAAGAUUCAAUUUUGGGGUUUCUCAUAUGUGGAUAUAUGUGUGCUCAGAAAUGCCAUAAACUUAGCAUUUUUGGUUUUUUUUUUAUCUUCUUUGUUUUUUUGCUUUUCAGAUUUUAUGGUUUUUUCAAUUUUUUUUACAUGGGUUCUUCGUGUAUUUGUUUAAUUUUGUUUCUAUGAUCUGGGCUCUGUUAGCUUCUGGCAUAUGAUCGUCCGUGUGUGUCAGAGAGAGAAACAUAGAGAGAGAGAAAAAGGCGAUGAAAACCCUUAAAGAAUUGAGUUUCUUCAAUGGAAGGAAAUGGGGUUUAGGUUUAUUUAGAAAGUUCCUUUUCAUUUUUGUUUCUCGCUAAAUGUUACUUUGUAUUAGUGUUUCGGGGGGAAGAUUUUGAGAGAGGAGAGCCAUGCCUUGAGGUGGGGAUUUAGUAUUACUUUGUUUUUGUAAGAAAUCUUACUGUUGAGCACUGGUGGAAUGAUUGCUUUGUCCAAAAUUUUCAGCGUGUGUUCCAUGUGUAAUCUGAGAAUGCUGGAGAUAGGUAGCUUUUUCCUACUAGUUUGAAUGGAGAAAACUCGUGUUUGAGUAAAUUAAGAUUGCCGUCUUGAUCUUAGAUGUCAUCAGUGAUGGAAAUGCUUGGUUGGUAUACAAGGAAAGGAAAUUUUUUUUUUUUUGCUUGCCUUUUAAAUUUUUGUCGUUUCGUCUUUGGUGAUGUUGGAGGUCUGGACUAGGUGAUGGUUGCCAGGUGGCAUCUGGGUGUAGAUGAUCAACUACGUUUCCAAUAAAAGCAAUACACUUUAUCUAUCUCCACAGAAUCACCAAAGUCCAGUCUAGUGUGCAUGAUGAUGUUGUUGGGUUCAGAAACUGGAUUCACAGAGAAUUACUAUAUCCCAUUUUCUUGUAACGCAUUUAAAUUGCAUUUAAAUCUGAGAAUGCUGGAGAUAGGUAGCUUUUGCCUACUAGUUUGAAUGGAGAAAACUCGUGUUUGAGUAAAUUAAGAUUACCGUCUUGAUCUUAGAUGUCAUCAGUGAUGGAAAUGCUUGGUUGGUAUACAAGGAAAGGAAAUUUUUUUUUUUGCUUGCCUUUUAAAUUUUUGUUGUUUCAUCUUUGGUGAUGUUGGAGGUCUGGACUAGGUGAUGGUUGCCAGGUGGCAUCUGGGUGUAGAUGAUCAACUACAUUUCCAAUAAAAGCAAUACACUUUAUCUAUCUCCAUCACCCGAAUUAUGCUUGAAUUUAUUGAGCUCCAACUUGCUUGAAAUGUAAGCAUAAUAUCUCCACAGAAUCACCAAAGUCCAGUCUAGUGUGCAUGAUGAUGUUGUUAGGUUAAGAAACUGGGAUUCACAGAGAAUUACUAUAUCCCAUUUUCUUGUAACGCAUUUAAAUUGCGUUAGUUCUGUAAUAGUAAAGCCAUCAUUGAAGAUUUUGUUGUCCUUUUGGUAGUAUUAAGUGAAAAACUUGUCACAUGGUAUGUGGAUGCAUUCAGAGUGUACUUUGUUCCACCAACAUUGCUCUUAUAGGAUGUAAGUUACAGCAAAGAAAUAGUUGUUAUAUAUAAGGGAAUAGGAUACUUUUUCCACCUAGAUCUGGAGGUAGAAACUAGUUGUUAUCUCACUGAUUUGUGAUAUUAUGGAACUAAUGCGCCAUUAAAAGAUUGUCUGGUGGUUCUAUGCUGUUAUGAGGAUUCACGCUAAACAAAAGUUAAUCAGGUUUUGCCAUUUGCUUUUGCUAUAAACUAGAUACGUUUUAAAUGUGGAACCUUACUGCUAGAAUGUUGCUUAAUGGUUUCAAUUUUAGAUUGUUUACAUGGAGAGCUGAGGGAUAAUUACAGUUUGCAUUUUCAGUUAGAUCGUACUUUUCAUUCAAUUUAUCACUUUUAGUAAGGUCACGAUUGGUUAGGUGGUCGGUUAUUACCAUUAUAAGAAAGCACAAAAUUAGCUUAAUAUUGGGGCCACUUGAUACCACCUAUGUUUUUGGUGUUUUGCAUCUGAUAUUAAUAGAAUACAUGCUCUGCUAUGUUUACUUCUGUAGGAUGAAUAUAAAUAGGUUUGAUACAUGUAUCCUUGUUACAACGCAGGAAAAUAGGAUUGAUUCUAUGAAAGAGCCUUUUUUCGUGCCUUUUUUCUUUUUAGUAAAUCUCUUUCUUAUGUUUGAAAGACUAUUUUCUGUGGCAACAAUCUGUGGUACCUGGCAGUGACUGUCUAGCUUAUGGCCUGUGGGACACUUUCUCAGCCUAGAUAUCAUUGAUGGCCCAAGAUUUGAUAUUGAGACUUGAAUCCACCCAAAAUGCACCACAAAUGGCCCAGUCUGGUGGCGUUGCCAACCAUUAAGCUUGUCCAAGUUUUAUACUCCUUUCACCUAGACAAUCUGUCAUCACUGUCUUCAAUCAGCGUAUUUUGUCCUAAAUUGAUGAGUUAUGUAUCAUGUGUGAAACUGAAUAUCCAAUUUGGCUGUAACAAAUGCAACUAUUGCACCCAUUAAAUUGUUCCUCAUAUUUAUAGGAGUCUAUUUGCGUGCAAUAAUGGUCCAACCCUUUUGGGGUUGGUGAGGGCAUUUUCUUUUUGGCAUGAGUGGUGUGUGUGUGUGUGUGUUUGGAACUUUUUCAAAGAAGAGGUUCUAGUGUCGGGGGGGGGGGGGGCUCCAAGAAGGGGAGGAUCAGAGAGAUGAUUCAGAAAUGGGGUAAGAGGGUGUUGACUCACAGAAAAGGGUGUUUGGAGGAUGACAGGGGGGAACCAGGGAUGAGCCAUGAAAAGUGGGUUGGUUUGCUUUUUCAGGGUGAGGCAGGAAGCUGGAAGGGUACAAUGAACAGGGACAAGAGAAGAGAGGAGUAUGAACUUUUAUACUGGUAAACGAAGAGGGUACAUCAUUUAUGUGUAAUGAUCAUGCAUGUUUUGUCCAGUAACUUUCUUUGGUUAAACAAGUAAAAGCAUUAUUUUUACAAAUAUUUUUGGUUAGGACAGAGUAUUAACUCUUUUAGUUGCCAAUAUUAAUCUUUUUUGUUAGUGCGUGAUCACGAAUGGAAAAAACCAAUACACAAAUCAUGCCAGCUGUCACCUUAGUCUUUGAGUCCCCAAAUGCUCUUAUGAUAUGGGCUGAAUAGCAACAUUUUUCCAGUGCUUGGUUAUAUCAACUGCCGCUGAGCUUAUUUUUUUGAACAAUUAUUGUUCUAGUCCACGUUCCGUGAACUGGUUAUAUCAAAAUCUUUUCCUUCUUGUAUUUGUAAACUGAGUACACAAGUUGUUCAAAACCCACUAGUUAGCAACUAAACAAGGAAUUGAUUUCUUGGCUGGUAAGAUCAUGCAGUAUUUAAGUUGGAGUUAAGGAUAUACAUUUGGAAUUCUACUUCUUUUGAUUCAAGGCUAGAAUCAACCUAUUUGGAAGGGUUAUCCUGGUAUUUCUAGCAAGAUGUGAGGAAAAGAACCUUUUGUUAUUUUCUUUUCAGAUUUGAUUUUUCAAAAUAUGAGAUGAGGAAGUGUUUUCAUUAAAGCUGAAGUUUAAUGUGACUUUUUGCCAACAAUUUAACACCAUAGCCCACCACAAAUCUUUUGGAGGUAGCUUAUUUUUUUGCCAAAUUUGUGGAAGGUGUGCUACAUUAGGUUCUGCCUAUGUUGUGAAGUACAAAUAAAUGAAAAUAAAAGCUUUCAGGGAUUUUAUUUCCCAGUGUGGUUAACGCUGUGAAUAAAUUAUGAUUUUUUUCCCUCAUCAUUCUGAUUUCCUCCAACUAACUUUGCCAUUCCUUUCUCAUUCAGAACUGGAAAGGUUUCAUAUUUUUUCUUUUCUUUGUUUAGAACAUGAAGAAUGAUGUAGUUAACUUUAUUUUCAUUGACAAGCAAAGCUAAGAAACUUUAUUUUGUUGCUGUGGAGACUCAAUACUUUGUGCUCAUAUGGUUAUAUGCAUUCCUUAAUUGGGUCCUAAUCUCUUUGUUUCAAUUGUCUAGGCACAGUUUAGCAGCUUACCUUCGCUAAAUGGAGAUUUUCAGACGCUCCCGAUCAUGUAUCCUUCAUAUUUUCCUGGAUUUUACCCUCCACAACAGAACCAGGAACAGAUGAAUCAUGGACGUGGCCUUUAUGCUGUUCCAGCUUUUCCAUUCAUGGGGCCUACUGCUGCAUUUGCACCAAAUACUCUAAUCCCUUUCACCUAUAAUAUACCUUCGUGAGUGUUCUAGCUAUGCAUGACUUGAUGGUAUAAUAAUUCAGUAGUAUUUUGCUUAGGUCAAGUAAUCUUUCUGAUUCUUUGUGCUGCAUGCAACUUUACAAUGGUUUUGCAAGUCCAACGCUUUCUUGUCUGUUUGAUUUUUUCCUGCAUAUAAGAUUUUUUUCCUAAUCUUUUUAUUUUCCUCUUUUGCCUUUUUUUUCCAGCAGAGAGACAUUACAAAAUGGAAUCCUCACCUAAAUAUCAAGCUAUUACACACCAAAAAGAAAAAAAAAGGCAAACAACAAUAUUUUUACAGUUUAACAGGACAAAAUGCAUUGAGGUUGUUUACUGGGAUUGCUGCAUAUUAAAGGAAUGGAAUUAUAAUUUCUGAAGCAAAAAAUGGUAAGGAGAAAAAUGGUGCCUCUUAAAUAAAACAUAAAGAAAUGGUCCCUCUGGUGUUUACUUUUAUCUGCACAUCAAAAUGAUGUUAAUCUUUGGUUAAACACUUAAGUUUACUCAUUGCAAGAAACUGGUUAAAUCAAAUUGAACUUUAUUUGGCAAUGCCUGAGAUAUGUGUUCAUCAUAGUUUAAAUGGAUAUACUGAUCUGCUAUGUGGUGUAGAACAUGAUGAAAGGCCAGAUGGGUGACUUCAUCUCUAUUAGAAUCUUUAUCACUAAAAGUGAUGGACAUCUUUUUAUAUUUACUGAUUCUUGGGCCAGGAGAGGAAUCUUUCGAUGGUAUUACAGAUUUACAAUUUUUAAAACCUAAUACCAUUUUAUUUCCUCCAUAGUUUGAACUACUAGGGUGUAGCUUUUGUUGUUUGAUAUCUUACACUUAAGCAACUUUUUAAAGCCGUUGUUGGUCUUCAUAAGCAUCCAGGUAUUGCGUGAAUCUAUCAUUCUUAGCAUAUUUAGCUCUGCAACAUGUAUUCCCUGAUAUAAAGCACUUGACUACUUUGGCUUAGAAAUUGGAAAAGGUAAAAGAAAGGACAAUGGAAAUGCAAAUGCUUAUGUCAUGUUGGAAAUGGGCCUUUUCCAGCGGCAUAUAAAACUCAAUCACCAUGUUAGUUCUCCUCUCUGUUGGAAUAUAUAGGAUGAUUAUGUGGGUAUACUUCUAAGCUAACAAGGUCAAAAACUUUUUCUGUAAUGUCCCAACUGGGACCCACCUCCAAACACUGUGUGUGAAUGUGCUGGAGGAGAGGUAAAGGACUAAGCAGAAGCACCUUGAGUUAGAAGAACAUAUCUGGUGUUUUCAAGAAGUGACUAAUGAGGUCAGGAUUUGGAUUAGUGAAUUUCAAGCAGGUUGCCAGGCCAUGACUAGGUUAGCCAAUCAAGACCUAGAGGGCAUGGAAUUCUUAGACACUGGUUACGAGGAUCCUUCUAAGACUAAAUCUGGUGCCAAUUCAGUAGCUGGACCUGCUAGGUCCCCUGGACAAGAUGUUUGAGGAUAUUAUGUUAAUUUAAGGAGAGUUAUUUUUUCAGUAGGUUUGAUUCCUCUUUUUUCUUGCGAGAGUAGGCAGGCUUAGGAUGGUAAGUUUGGAAUUGGGCCUAGCUGGGGCGUCACAUAUUUCUUAUGCUUUUUUACUAGCUUAUUUAGAUGUACAUGUUUAGUGGAUCUACUGAAAGCUUUUCCUGCAUGUGAGACUUUGAUGGAAGCUCGUAAGCAUUUGCCAAGUAUACUUGUCUGAAUUGUUAGUAAUGUGUCUUAAAAGUUUGAAUUUCCUUUCCAUGUUACAACAUGACCCUGCAUGUCAACCAUUUCUCUUCCACACUCAUCACUUUUUUAAGUGUGUUCAGCAAAAUUAACCAAAGUCCCAGAAGAUCAUUGGGCAUACGUGGCAAUUAUAGGCCCUUCUUAUGCAUUGUGCAGAAGUUGUCCCUCGUUACAAAUUGUGCACUUAGCAUGCAAUAUAGCAGGGAAAUUAUUGUUCCAUGCAUAAAAUCGAUCUUUAGUGUUGUUUCUGGGAGUAUCACUCACUAAAUCCUGAGCAAGUUGCAAGGUUUCCAUAUUUUGCUUUAUUAUAUAUAGUCCAUAGGUUGUUCUUAUUGAGUUAAUAGGUAAUAACACAAGUAGGGCUGUAAACAAAUCGGAUCGAUCCAAAACUUUUGACCUGUGAGGCUGGGUUUCAAGCUUGUAUCUUGUACAAGCUUAGAAUUUAAGCUCAAGUUCAAUUUGACUUUCUUAACCUAAAGGGGAACCUUGUGUAGAUACCAUAUCCUUAUCAUCGAUCUUGUAUUCUAUAGGGUCUAUCUCGACUGGAAACCCCGAAAUUUGUUUCUAUUUUUUAAAUUUUAGUAGUAUUUUAUGAAUAUUACAUAUAUCGAUUUUAUGGAAUAUAAUAGUGAAAAUGUAAUUCUAUGUAAAAUAUAGCUGUAUGUUUCUUAAAAAAUAUAAAAAAAAUACCUGAGCCUUAACGAGGCAAAUACUUGGUAUUCGAACUCAGUUCGAUAACUUAAUCGAAUUCUAAUCAUUGUUCAAAUUUGAGCUCGACCUCACUAAAAAUUUUACUGGAACUGAGCUUUUGAGUUUUGACAAAUUGAGCCGAACUAUUCCUUAAGGCUUGAUUUGUUUACAGCCCUAGGUGCAAGAGGAUAAAAGUAUGUUUUCUGACAUUAAUUUCAGUUAAGAUUCAGUACAAUCCUUGUUAAAGUAAAUGAUGCCCUUUUAUUUUUCAUUCAGUAGCUAACAAAUUAUGUUAUUAGUUGGUUAUUGUUGGUAUGUGCGCAUAAGAAAUGAUUGUUGGAUAAUUUUAUGAACAAGCGUUAGAGUUUGUUGAAUCAAAUAAGGUCUGUUGAAAGUAUGCUUGCAGACUCGGCCCUUCUCCACCUCCAAAACCCUAACAAAUUAUAUAUCAAAUAUUGUUGAUAAAGAACUACAUGGAACCUUUUGAGGGAAAUGAAACUUUGUCCUAAUCUUUUAUAGUUAUAGAUGUUCCUUUCAUAGUAAUCUCUUCUUCAUAUUAUGGCUCCAUUUAUUUGGUUACUAUCUGUCAGGAUAUUAGGACUAUUGGAGUUUGGGCCCUUUGGGGUUUUAGACAUGCAGAAUGUGAAGCACUCCUUUCGCAGCUGAGAUUUUGGAUUCACAAGAAAGUAAACCGUCAUUUUAGAAUUUACCAUAUCCUUUAAAAAGAUUUGAAGUGGUAGUUUGGUAAAAACUAGUUAACUUACUUCAAGGUUUUUACCUUGCUUGUUUAGCUUGCAGAGGCAAUCAGCAAGGCAUUUUAAUAAAUGCAGAAAUCAAACAUGUUGGGCAACAUGUCUUGGCCUCCGAAUAGUGUCAUGAUAUUUUCUAUGUGAAUGCAAUAAUAAUAAUGUGUAGGAAGUUAAGUUAACAACAAUCCAUUGACAUGCAUAUUAUGCACUAUUUUAUGAAAAUCGUAAUUGUUUCCAACUGCAACUGCAAAUCUAGAAUUCUAAGUACAGGAGGUCUUGGUGAUUUUAUUUAACUGAUUUGGCAACUCUGUACCAUUCACAGUGGGCCAAGUCCACCAGAAACUGGAGCAGUGGGUGAGAAUCAAGGACAACAGCAACAUGAGCAGCAACAGCCGCAGCAAAUGCAGCCUGGACAUCGACAAGUUGUUGUAAGGAGAUUUCAAAUUGCUUUCCAGCUUGACUUGCUGCUUAUUCUAAAGCUGGUGGCAGUUAUCUUUUUGUUUAACCAAGAUGGAUCUAGACAAAGGCUGGUGCUGCUUGUGUUUUUUGCUUCAUUAGUUUAUCUGUAAGUAGCAGAGUUUCUCAGGAUUUUCGCUUUUGUUGUUUGUCCACCGCCAAAAACCACUGGGCAACUGAAUUCUUUGUUUCCAAUGAAAAAAAUCAAAAAGUUCAUGACUCAAUCAAAAGUUUGUUACAUGGUUUAUACUGUUCAGGUAUUGUCUUUCUUGCUCUCCAGCUAAUAAGAGCUGCAAUUAUUCUACUGGCUGAUGCAGGUAUCAAACUGGAGCUCUGGCACCAUUAGUUCGGUGGCUUUCACAGGGGAUGCACCGGGCAGCUGCACCUCCCCAACCACCAAGGCCUGCUGUGCGGGCAGAUAAUGCUCAUGCUCCUGAGGGAGCUGGAAAUGAGAAUGAUGCUGCUGCUGCCGGUACUUUGACUAACUAUAUCUCUAUUGAAAAUCUGUAAGCAUGUAAUGCAGAAAAAAAGGCAAGAACUUGUAUUUAAAAAAUUAAUUUUUCCCAAUCCUGUGAUGAGCUCUCAACAAGAAUAUAUUUUGGCUAUUUAUUUAAUCUGAUUGAGUUACUUCCAGAUUCUCUCUUGUAUAGCCUUCUUAUUGGAAGCCUCAUAUGUUUCACUUUCUAAUCUCUCUCUCUCUCUCUCUGCACACACACACGCACGGAGAAACUCACAUCUGCUUAUUUGGUGAUUUAUCUAACAAUCUUGGGUUCCCUGUGAAGGAAUCUGUCUUGAACAACUUUCAUUUACUUGUUUUUUUGGUGAGCCAUAUCAGAGGUUGUUUGUGGGCUCGGCUAGGUUCCCAUUAUUCGUGAAUCAAUUAGUCUGAAAGUCAAUUUUUUUUGGGUAUAAAGAAUCCAUGAAGAGUGCAAAUAGACGAUAUCAAAUGGAAAGAGAAUGGUCCUGUUACAGUUGCUCCCUGCUGUAGUUUCUUGAUGUUGAUGUGAUUCUCAUCUUUGUUUGCUUAGCUGCACCAUCUGCAUUUUUGCAAUUUCUGCUUAACAACCUUACAGCUCAUCUAGCACUAUGAUAAAAGAUUGUUAUCAUCAGAAUCUAAUGGACAAAACUCAUAAAUGACCUGCAUUUUGAUAUGUCAGUGGUUACAUGAAGUUCCAUUCUCGAUCCCUUACUUAUUUCAGACUACGGUUGUCACCAAAAGAGUAAUCAUUUCCUAACACAUGACCAUCUUCAAUCUUGGCAGAUGGACAACCUGUAGGCGAAAAUGAGCAUCAGCCUCUUAACGAGAAUGGGGCAGUAGAGAAUGAACCUGGCGUGGAACCUGGCAGAGCUGAAGGUGGCAACCGCUUGUGGGUAAUUGUGAAGGAGAUCCAACUGAUUGUCUUUGGCUUCAUCACAUCACUACUUCCUGGCUUUCAUAACAUAGAUUAAACUGUAAAUGGAUUUAGAUCCAUUAUAGUUACUCUGACAAAGGUGGGAGAGUUAAACAGGCUGUCCUUUUCUUCACCACCUCCCCCCACCCACCCCACAAACAAAAAACAAACCAAUGUGAAUGCCAUAACUUUCUGGAGACUGUUGGAGGCUGUAUGUAUGUUGAAAUGGAUUUUCCCAGAACCAGUCCGCUGAAAUGAUGUAAGGGCCUUAAUAUAAAUAACAUAUUCCCUAUGGUAUUUUAGGCUUUACCCGGAAAAUUCUACCAUAGCAGGUCCUCAUUGAGGAAGUCCCUUAGAUUGGUGAUGCACGGUGGGGGGCGUAAACCUUUGAGUUCCUAGGGGGCACAGGUAUUUAUGGAGGAUGAGAAUUUGUAUUAAAACACAUAUAUUCCUAAAGAUUUUACUCCCAGCUAUUAAAAUAUAGAUUGUAUUUAGCUUUCAGAGUAUAACUCGCAACCGAUUCGAGUUGAUGCUUUUGGCAAAAUCAUUGUUAGACAUAUUAAAAGGAAUUCGUGUUGAACCAAUGAGUAAUUUCAUUCAGAAAAGGAUCUGUUAAUAACUAUGACAAAUUUUUUAAUUAAAUAAAGCAUAAGAAGAAGAUAGUUGGACAUGGCAAAUCAAAUAUGAAUUCACGUUGAUGUGGUUAAAUUAAAUCUACAGAAUUUUUUUUUCUUUGGGUUUGGGUUUGAGUGUCGGGUUGAAGUGCGAAUGAUUUUGAUAGUCAUAUAAUAAAUCAUAUAAAUUACAAAUACAACAUAGUUAAAUAAAUAGAAGGAAAAUUUGUCAAAUUGAUCCUUACAUUUUUAGAAAUUUUUUUUUUAGUUCCUCAUAUUUAAAAUUAGUCACAAUAGUCCUUCAAAUAUAAAAAAGUCUACCCGAUUGAUUCCAAAACUUGAUUUCACUCACUUCUCUAACUAAAAAGCACACGUCUCUCUCAUGUGUCCAUAAUUUUAAGGGCAAAAAAUGAAAACACAUUUCGUUUCCUCUUAAGAAACACAUCAGUCACCAAAUCCUUAAAUAUAAACCUAGAUUAAACAAGAGAGAUUUUAACUUCUUCAUUCUUUAAUAUCACGCCAACAACAACACCGGUUUCCAAGAAUCUCCCUUCUAGAAUUUGCAGGUUUCCAAGAAGUCAAAAUCAUGAGCACUUUGCCACAAUGACAUCGAUUAUUGUUUGUUUCAUUGUACUCUUCAAGGGGUGAGUUUUUGAGGUGUCUUUUCUUUCAUUUCUUCUAUUACUUGUAGGUAAUCAUAUUGAAAUUUUUUUUGACUGGGGAUUUGGUAGCUUACAAUUAGGGUUUUGGUAGCUAAAAAAAUAGGGAAAAGGGGGGAAGAAAGGGUUUGGUCGCUUAUAUUUUCGUCUUCUUUUUUUUUAAAAAAAAGAGAGAGAAAAUUAAGUGUAUUUUCAUUUUUGUUCUUGAAAUUAUGAGCACAUGAGAGAGGUCAGAGGUGUGCACUUUUUGGCUGGAGAACUGAGCGAGAACGAACUUUGGGACCAAUAGGGUAGAUCUUUUUAUAUCUGAAGGACUAUUGUGGCUAAUUUUAAAUGUGAGGGACAAAAAAAAAUUUUCUGAAAAUGUGAGGGACCAAUUUAGCAAAUUUCCCUAAAUAGAAAUGGCAAGGAGACGGGUUUCGACCGGGAGACUCUUCUCUUGCAGCUCACCUCGUCGUUAGAAAACUCUCAUGUCCCUGCCCCACUCCCCCAACCCCUGUCCUUCCACCCUCCACCCUCCACCCUUCCCCCCCCCCCCUUCCCCCUCCUAUAGUGCCUAGCAACUUUAUUUCCUUUUGGGACAAUUUCAGAAACCUCCAUUGAGUUUCUGACAAUUUCACUAGCCUCACCUAAAGUUUGUAAAAUUACACAAAUCUCCACUGAGGUUAAGGUUUUAAUAACAAAAUUAGUUCAAUUAGAAAAAGUAAUAUUAAAAAUGUAUUUCAAGAAGAGAGACGAAAUUUUGAUUCCAUAAAUACCCCUUAUGUGUAUACAUAAGUUGUAUUAGUAAAAAUAAAUAAAAAUAAUUAAAAGUUAGAAAUAAUUAAUACACACAAUUUACUAUUCAAAAAGUUCAUAUUUAAUAAAUUAAACAACACAAAUAAACAAUAAAACUAUACUAAUGAUCACAAGAUUCAGCAAAACAGACUAGUCAUUUCUUUUAGCAUGAUGUUUGCUAUGAUUCUUGUGAUUUUGAAUAGAAAAAUUUUCAAAAUUUACCUUUCUUUUCAUUAAGUAAAAAUAAUGUUUAAUAAAAAAGAUAAAAUCAAACUCUAAAAAAUACUCAGUCACCAGUUCAUUUAGCUCCUGAGGUUGGACCACUUGCCUUACAGCUUCCUCAGCAUGCACAACAUCCUCUUCUCCAACUUCUUCCGUAUGCCUUUCCUUAUUCUCCUCAUGUUCCUAACCAUAGAGAAUUGAAUAAUUUUUAAAAUUAUUCUAUAAGUUAAAAUGGUUUGCAUAAAAAGGAUAAAAUAAAUUUUUAAAAAUAUUUAGUCACCGGUUUGUCCAGUACCUAACCUUAGGGCAUGUCCAACGCAGCUUCAAGUUCCUCUUCUCCAGCUUCUUCCAGACCAUUUUCCUAAGCACAGAGAAUUGAAUAAAUUUUUUAACUAUUCUAUAAACUAAAAAGGUAUUGCAUGAAAAAGGAUAAAAUAAAUAUCUAAAAAAAUUUAGUCACCAAUUCGUCCAAUGCCUGAGCCUGACCGAAGACCAACUCAGCAUCCUCAUGAUGCACUACUUCCUCUUCAACGGUUUCUCCAAAGUUCUCUUGCUCUGGUUCCUAGGUGAUAGAAUUUUAAAAGAUUUUGAAAUUAAAAUAAUUUGAAUUAAUUGAAAUAAAAUCUCUAAACAAAAAUCAUCAACACUUUCCUGUACCUAGUUUUCCCUUGCAUCACCUCAGCUUAUAUAUUUAAUGAAAAUGGAGGGCAUGAAAGGCAAAAUUUGAAAAUUUUUCUAUUCAAAAUCACAAAAAUCAUAACAAAUAUCACGUCCAAAGAGAUAACUGGUCUAUUUUGUUGAAUCUUGUAAUCAUUAAUUAGUUUUGUUGCUUAUUUGUGUUGUUCAAUUUAUUAAAUAUGAAUUUUUUGAGUGAUAAAAUGUGUGUUUUAAUUAUUUUUAAUUUUUAAUUAUUAUUAUUCUUUUACUAAUACAACUUACAUACAUGUAUAAGGGGUAUUAGUGGAAUAAAUGUUUCGUCUCUCUCCUUAAAGUAUUAUUUAAGGAUAAUUUCAAAAACCUCCCUUGAUGUUUCUUACAAUUUCACUAGCCUCCCCUAAAAUUUGAAAAAUUACACAAACCUGCCCUGAGAUCAAGAUUUUGAUAACAAAAUUAGUCCAAUUAGAAAAAAUAACAUUAAAAAGUACUUUAAGAAGAGAGACGAAACUUUCAUUCGAUAAAUACUCCUUAUGCGUGUACAUAAGUUGUAUUAGAAGAAAAAUCAAAAUAAUUACAAGUUAGAAAUAAUUAAUAUACACAAUUUACUAUUCAAAAAGUUCAUAUUUAAUAAAUUAGACACCAUAAAUAAGCAAUAAAGCUACAAUAAUGAUCACAAGAUUCAGCAAAGCAGACUAGUCAUUUCUUUUAGCAUAAUGUUUGCUAUGAUUUUUGUGAUUUUGAAUGGAAAAAUUUUCAAAUUUUACCUUUCUUUUCAUUAAGUAAAAAUAAUGUUUAAUAAAAAAGAUAAAAUAAAACUCUAAACAAUACUCAAUCACCAGUUCAUCUAGCUCCUGAGGUUGGACAACUUGCCUUUCAGCUUUCUCAGCAUGCAUAACUUCCUCUUCUCCAACUUUUUCCACAUGCUCUUCCUUAUUCUCCUCAUGUUCCUAACUAUAGAGAAUUGAAUAAUUUUUUAAAUUAUUUCAUAAGUUAAAAAUGGCUUGCAUAAAAAGGAUAAAAUAAAAUUUUUAAAAUAUUUAGUCACCGAUUCAUCCAAUACCAGACCUUGAGGUACAUCCAGCACAGUGUCAAGUUCCUUUUCUCCAGCUUCUUCCACAUCAUUUUUCUAAGCAUAGAGAAUUGAAUAAAUUUUUUUAUUAUUCUAUAAAUUAAAAAGGUAUUCCAUGAAAAAGGAUAAAAUAAAUCUCUAAAAAAAUUUAGUUACUGAUUCAUCCAAUACCUAAGCUUGACCUAAGACCAGCUCAGCAUUGUCAUGAUGCACUACUUCCUCUUCACCGACUUCUUCAACGUUCUCUUCCUCUAGUUCCUAGGUCACGGAAUUUUAAAAAACUCUUGAAAUGAAAAUAAUUUGAAUUAAUUGAAAUAAAAUCUUUAAGUGAGAAUCAUCAACUCUUUCCUUUACCUGGUUUUGAACUAGUAGCCCUGCCACAGCAUCUUCAAUAUGCAAUUCUAGAUCCCCUGCACCACCUCAACUUAUGUAUUUAAGGAAAAUGGAGGGAAAAGAAAAGCAAAAUUUGAAAAUUUUUUCUGUUCAAAAUCACAAAAAUCAUAACAAACACAAUGUCAAAAGAGAUGACUAGCCUGUUUUGUUGAAUCUUGUGAUCAUUAAUAUAGUUUUGUUGCUUAUUUGUGUUAUCUAAUUUAUUAAAUAUGAACUUUUUAAAUGAUAAAAUGUGUGUACUAAUUAUUUUUAAUUUUUAAUUAUUUUUAUUCUUUUACUAAUACAACUUAUAUACAUGUAUAAGGAGUAUUUAUGGAUUAAAAGUUUCGUCUCUCUCCUUAAAGUUCUUUUUCGGGAUAAUUCCAAAAACCUCCCUUGAGAUUUCUGACAAUUUCACUAGCCUCCCCUAAAAUUUGUAAAAUUACACAAACCUCCCCUGAGAAUAAGGUUUUUAUAGCAAAAUUAGUCUAAUUAGAAAACGUAACAUUAAAAAAGUACUUUAAGGAGAGAGACGAAACUUUCAUUUCGUAAAUAUCCCUUAUGCAUGUACAUAAGUUGUAUUUGUAAAAAAAUAAAAAUAAUUAAAUGUUAGAAAUAAUUAAUACACACAAUUUACUAUUCAAAAAGCUCAUAUUUAAUAAAUUAGAUAAUAUAAAUAAGUAAUAAAACUGCACUAAUGAUCACAAAAUUCAACAAAAUAGACUAGUCAUUUCUUUUAGUAUGAUGUUUACUAUGAUUCUUGUGAUUUUGAAUAGAAAAAUUUUCAAAUUUUACCUUUCUUUUCAUUAAGUAAAAGUCAUGUUUAAUAAAAAAAAUGAUAAAAUAAAACUCUAAAAAAUACUCAGUCACGAGUUCAUCUAGAUCCUGAGGUUGGACCACCUGCCCUACGGCUUCCUCAGCAUGCAUAAUUUCCCCUCUCUAGCUUCUUCCAUAUGCUCUUCCUCGUUCUCCUCAUGCUCCUAACCACAGAGAAUUGAAUAAUUUUUUAAAUUAUUCUAUAAGUUAAAAUGGUUUGCAUAAAAAGGAUAAAUAAAAAUUUUAAAAUAUUUAGUCACCAGUUCGUCCAGUGCCUAACCUUGAGGUAUAUCCAACGCAACGUCAAGUUUCUCUUCUCUAGCUUCUACCACACCAUUUUCCUAAGCACAGAUAAUUGAAUAAAUUUUUUUAUUAUUCUAUAAAUUGAAAGGGUAUUGCAUGAAAAAAGAUAAAAAUAAAUUUAUAAAAAAAUUUAGUCACCGAUUCGUCCAAUACCUGAGCAUGACCUAAGACCAACUCAGCGUCCUCAUGAUGCACUACUUCCUCUUCCUCUUGUUCCUAGGUCAUGGAAUUUUAAAAAAAAUUUUGAGAUGAAAAUAAUUUGAAUUAAUUGAAAUAAAAUCUCUAAAAAAAAUCAUCAACUCUUUCUUGUACUUGGUUUUUAACUACCAGUCCUGCUGCAAUGUCUUCAAUAUGCUAUUCUGGAUCCCCUGCACCACCUCAACUUAUGUAUUUAAGGAAAAUGGAGGGAAAAGAAAGGCAAAAUUUGAAAAUUUUUUCUGUUAAAAAACACAAAAAUCAUAACAAACAUCAUGCCAAAAGAAAUGACUAACCUAUUUUGUUAAAUCUUGUGAUCAUUAGAGUAGUUUUGUUACUUAUUUGUGUUAUCUAAUUUAUUAAAUAUGAACUUUUUGAGUGAUAAAAUGCGUGUACUAUUUUUUUAAAUUUUUAAUUAUUUUUAUUCUUUUACUAAUACAACUUAUAUACAUGUAUAAGAGGUAUUUAUGAAAUAAAGGUUUCGUCUUUCUCCUUAAAGUACUUUUUAAUGUUGUUUUUUCUAAUUGAACUAAUUUUGUUAUCAAAACCUUAAUUUCAAGUGAGGUUUGUGUAAUUUUGUAAACUUCAGAGGAAGUUAAUGAAAUUGUUAGAAACCUCAAGGGAGGUUUCUGAAAUUAUCCCUACUUUUUUAUGUUGUUUUUUCUAAUUGGACUAAUUUUGUUAUCAAAACCUUAACCUCAUGGGAGGUUUGUGUAAUUUUGUAAACUUCAAGAGAAACUAGAGAAAUUGUUAGAAACCUCAAGGGAGGUUUCUGAAAUUAUCCCCUUUCUUUUGCCCUUUGUGUCCCAUAGCUCAAUUUAUUAUUAUUAUUAUUAUUACUUCUAAUAAUAUCAACAAGAAAAGAGGCAUAGUGGAGGAAAAAUAUUAGCAAAAUCAGGUUUCUUGAGUUGUCCAACAUUAGGAUUAAGAAUACUCCCAAAAUUAGAAGCAUAAAAUGAUGUGCAAAAUGUUAAUUACAAUUAUAGAACUAAUUAAAAUUUUUAUUCUAAUUAAGCCUCAACACACACCACCCAACCCACCCACCCCCACCCCCGGAACUUGGCUCACAUGCCCCUCACUCCAUGUUUCUUCCCGUGGGACAGGCACCCACCUCCACUGCUUACCUUUUUUUUUUUUUUUUUGUCGACACAGGGGUGUCCGGGUCAAUUCUUACGGGGCCCGACUAAUCCCCUACGGCUCGGACCCGGCGCUUCAACCCGGCCCGAACACCUCCACUGCUUACCUUACAAAUAAAGAAAAAGUUACACCUCCCUCGUCUAGCAGAAUAGUAAUCAAAGAAUCAACCUUAAAUAAAAUGUAUCCCUCCCAUGCCAACAAAAUGUGCACUAAUUAUGUAUUGCCAAAGAAACCAAAGAUAUAACAAUAAUACUGGUAAUAACCACUACACUAACCACCAAAAUGUUUCUCAACAUAGUGUAAAUGGUCACUUAAAGUACAAAAAAUAAUAAAGAGUACUUAAAGAAAAGUACUCUUUUUAGCAUUUGGAAAGUACACACAAUGAUCUCAAAUUCUCGUGAUGAGUAGUUUCUCAAGCUAGUUUUUAAGCCAGUUGACUGAUUGGUUCGUACGGUAAAGUUUACCAAAUGGAAAUGGGCCUCUCUCUCUCCCUCUCUCUCUCUCUUUCUUUGAUUUAUUAUUUGUUUUCCUUUUUUUUUUGUUGUCAAACUCGAAUAUUUCCUACCUGAAAUUCUCAAAUUUUAUGGAGUUAGUCUAGGCCAUGGCUGUUGCGUAGUGAAUGCGUACCAUACAUGCAAUCAGCACAUGAAUUCUUGAAAUUAUGAACCAAGUAAAAUUAGCUCAUCAACUCAAAACAUGAUCAAGAAUCAAGCCUUUGAGAUGGAUAAUGAAAGCCUAAACAAACCAACCAAAUAAAACCGUCUCAAAACUCAUUUCUGCUUGGACUAAUUUUGGUACUUGCUGCUCUCCAAACUUUAACAAUAUUGAUCAAAUUUUACUGAAACAAAUCUGUAUUUACAUGACAGUCUUGAUACAUUACAAAAUUGGUAUGACCAGACGUGAAAGAGGUAUAAAAAGGCGAUGAAUGGUCUUUAUUUCGCACUCAGGAUGUAGUAAUUACAAAAAAAAUCGUAUGUACAAAGUUGACAGAUAAUUCCCAGCUCACAUUUCAGACAAAAGAUUGCUAAUCUUCCGAAGCUCUUUCAAGGCUGACAUAGCU
Molecule: long non-coding RNA, 17493 nt
Filed under: Coffea arabica (coffee)
Lineage: Eukaryota; Viridiplantae; Streptophyta; Magnoliopsida; Gentianales; Rubiaceae
Description: long non-coding RNA (CARA_LNC004294)
Source: RNAcentral